Long non-coding RNA from Marmota monax (woodchuck), 823 nucleotides. RefSeq lists it as uncharacterized. Lineage: Eukaryota; Metazoa; Chordata; Mammalia; Rodentia; Sciuridae. The transcript has 3 exons. The record is from RefSeq and is a predicted model, not a curated record.
GGCGCUCUGCCCCCAGCAGGCUGUGUCCCACACUUUCCCCAGCACAGUGACUGCAAUGUGUGUGGCCUGGACUUUGUGGUCCCACCCUGGGCUGCUCUGAGCUCUGUGAGCAGGGACCUGCUGGUGGUUGGUCUGUGGGAAGAACAAGCGGAGUGUGAACACCCCUCAGCCCCCACCUGUUGCGGAGGAGGAGACAGGGCCCAGAGAGGGACUGACGCACACGUGGAGGCGGAGGACCCGGGCACUGUCCGCCUGGCGCCUGGGGCGGGCAGAUCUCCGCUCUUACUGUAAGUAAGGGUAACGGUUCCCAGAGCAACUGCAGCUCGUCUUCUGGGAUUUACAGGAAAUCAAAUGAGCAGUUUCCAGAAGGGGCUGAGACUGUGAGGGCUGGUGAGCAGGAGAGCACCCAGCGCCCAGAGGCCCUGAGCAGCAGGUGGCAGGGUCUGUCCCUCCCCCACCAGAGGGCAGGAGCAGAGUCCAGGGCCUCACCCGAAAAUGUGUGGCCUAUUCCCGAGGCCUGAGGUCUUCCUGGCCUGCAAUGGGCAUGCUCUGGACCACAGCCAGGUGUGGUGGUGCACGUCUGAGACCCAGCACUCAGGAGGCUGAGGCGGGAGGAUCUCCAGUUCAAAGCCAGCCUCGGCAACUUAGUGAGACCCUGUCUCAAAAUAAAAAAUAAAAAGGGCUGGGGGUGUGGCUCAGUGGUAGAGUGCCCCUCGGCUUCAAUUCCCAGCACCCCCAAAAAGUUUCUUAUUACAAAAGAUAUUCUUAUUUUAGAAUAACUAUAGCAAUUACGGUUAUAAUUAAAACACUAUUUGAAUGACAA